CCUGUGGCCCCUGCUCCUGGGGGCCGGCAUUAAGGGGGCAAAGGAUCAUUUGGGGGUGUCCUGCCACCACAGGUGGGUACCCUGCCACUCCAGGGGGGUACCCUGCCAUUCCUCCUCGGACCCAGUGGAGGUGUGGGAGCCUGGGCCCGAGGCAUCACCAGGCCCGCGUGUCUGGGGGCUCCAGACAUGCGGCCUGCAACUUUUCCU
Molecule: non-coding RNA, 207 nt
Organism: Pelobates cultripes (western spadefoot toad)
Lineage: Eukaryota; Metazoa; Chordata; Amphibia; Anura; Pelobatidae
Source: the annotation of a GenBank genome assembly